This is a long non-coding RNA of Danio aesculapii, 275 nucleotides long. RefSeq lists it as uncharacterized. The transcript is spliced from 3 exons. NCBI's taxonomy places the organism in Eukaryota, Metazoa, Chordata, Actinopteri, Cypriniformes, Danionidae. The record is from RefSeq and is a predicted model, not a curated record.
CUGGAUAGAGCCCUCACCAUCUUCUCCAGCGCAGCAGCAAAUACGUCUCAGCCAAUCAGCAGCGACGCCCUGUCCAAUGCACUGGAUGUAGUGUGGGAGCUGAGACUGGAGAGCGUCAGUGAUGACCAAUGGAGAAACGCUUCCGUCAUCAGCACACUGUUCAGUCAAAACCUCAAGCCGUUUUUAGCGUCUGCGUCACCAUCCCUACUGCAGUGCGCUAGCAGCAAAAACCUCACCUGCCAAACUUACCAGCUCAUACUCACAGAGUUCCCGCC